CAGCCGCCGCGGUAAUACGUAGGGGGCGAGCGUUGUCCGGAAUUAUUGGGCGUAAAGCGCGCGCAGGCGGUCCUUUAAGUCUGAUGUGAAAGCCCACGGCUCAACCGUGGAGGGUCAUUGGAAACUGGGGGACUUGAGUGCAGGAGAGGAGAGCGGAAUUCCACGUGUAGCGGUGAAAUGCGUAGAGAUGUGGAGGAACACCAGUGGCGAAGGCGGCUCUCUGGCCUGUAACUGACGCUGAGGCGCGAAAGCGUGGGGAGCAAACAGGAUUAGAUACCCUGGUAGUCCACGCCGUAAACGAUGAGUGCUAAGUGUUAGAGGGGUCACACCCUUUAGUGCUGUAGCUAACGCGAUAAGCACUCCGCCUGGGGAGUACGGCCGCAAGGUUGAAACUUAAAGGAAUUGGCGGG
RNAcentral lists this ribosomal RNA (410 nucleotides) under uncultured microorganism. Its description in RNAcentral is "bacterial SSU rRNA". It matches the Rfam family "Bacterial small subunit ribosomal RNA", at positions 509 to 917 of the family's 1533-position model. The record is from RNAcentral.